Sphaerodactylus townsendi is the source of this 105-nucleotide small nuclear RNA. NCBI's taxonomy places the organism in Eukaryota, Metazoa, Chordata, Lepidosauria, Squamata, Sphaerodactylidae. The record is from RefSeq and is a predicted model, not a curated record.
AUAAUCGUUGGCAGCACAUAUACUGAGAUUGGAACAAUACAGAGAAGCUUAGCGUGGCCCCUGUGCAAGCAUGACACACACAUUCUUGAAGCAUGCCAUAACCAC